This 492-nucleotide ribosomal RNA is filed under the name uncultured bacterium. RNAcentral's name for it is "partial 16S ribosomal RNA". It matches the Rfam family "Bacterial small subunit ribosomal RNA", at positions 29 to 507 of the family's 1533-position model. The record is from RNAcentral.
AGUGAACGCUGGCGGUAUGCCUAACACAUGCAAGUCGAACGACAACACAGUGAGAUCGCGCCCCUACGGGUAGCGGCGGACGGACGGGUGACACAUACAUCGCAAUCUAAUUUUUCGUGGAUGAUAACGUAAGACCACUUACGCUAAUACCGCAUACAACCUACGGCUGAAAUCAAUGGAUCUUCACACCUUUCGCGUUUCAAUUAGCCGAUGUCGCAUUAGCUAGUUGGCGGGGUAAAGGCCCACCAAGGCGACGAUGCGUAGCUGGUCUGAGAGGAUGAUCAGCCACACUGGAACUGAGACACGGUCCAGACUCCUACGGGAGGCAGCAGUGGGGAAUCUUGGACAAUGGGCGAAAGCCUGAUGCAGCCAUGCCGCGUGAGUGAUGAAGGUCUUCGGGUUGUAAAGCUCUUUUGUUGGGGAAGAAAAAAAGUGGGUGUAUAUAUGGCUGUCUUGACGGUACCUAAAGAAUAAGCAACGGCUAACUUCGUG